RNAcentral lists this ribosomal RNA (164 nucleotides) under Calamus ursinus. RNAcentral's name for it is "5.8S ribosomal RNA". It matches the Rfam family "5.8S ribosomal RNA". From Rfam's summary of the family: 5.8S ribosomal RNA (5.8S rRNA) is a component of the large subunit of the eukaryotic ribosome. It is transcribed by RNA polymerase I as part of the 45S precursor that also contains 18S and 28S rRNA. The record is from RNAcentral. Lineage: Eukaryota; Viridiplantae; Streptophyta; Magnoliopsida; Arecales; Arecaceae.
GGUACGACUCACGGCAACGGAUAUCUCAGCUCUUGCAUCGACGAAGAAUGUAGCGAAAUGCGAUACGUGGUGCCAAUUGCAGAAUCCCGCGAACCAUCGAGUCUUCGAAUGCAAGUUGCGCCCGAGGCCAUCCGGCCGAGGGCACGCCUGCCUAGGCACCAACC